AGUCAGGGAACCCUGAGUUUCUGUGUCCAACUUUAACGGUCCGUCUUAUAUAAAAUUUUUUUAUAAUUCAUAUUUUCAUUGUUGUUAGAUGAUAAAACAUGAUUAAUAUUUUAUGCGUGACUUGUAUUUUUGAUUUUUUUUAUAAUUUUUUAAAUAAAACGGACGGUCAAACGUUGGGCACGGAAACCAAAGUUUGUCUUUUUU
Molecule: non-coding RNA, 204 nt
Organism: Oryza glaberrima (African rice)
Lineage: Eukaryota; Viridiplantae; Streptophyta; Magnoliopsida; Poales; Poaceae
Source: Rfam